GUGCUUGCUUCAGCGUCACCUACACUAAAAUUGGAAUGAUACUGAGAUUAGUGCGGCCCUGGCCAAGGACAGCAGGGAAAUUUGUGAAGCACUCCAUAAAAAA
RNAcentral lists this small nuclear RNA (103 nucleotides) under Saimiri boliviensis boliviensis (Bolivian squirrel monkey). The record is from RNAcentral. Lineage: Eukaryota; Metazoa; Chordata; Mammalia; Primates; Cebidae.